Molecule: ribosomal RNA, 468 nt
Filed under: uncultured bacterium
Lineage: Bacteria
Description: partial 16S ribosomal RNA
Rfam family: Bacterial small subunit ribosomal RNA
Source: RNAcentral
GACGAACGCUGGCGGCGUGCUUAACACAUGCAAGUCGAACGGAAAGGCCCUGCUUUUGUGGGGUGCUCGAGUGGCGAACGGGUGAGUAACACGUGAGUAACCUGCCCUUGACUUUGGGAUAACUUCAGGAAACUGGGGCUAAUACCGGAUAGGAGCUCCUGCUGCAUGGUGGGGGUUGGAAAGUUUCGGCGGUUGGGGAUGGACUCGCGGCUUAUCAGCUUGUUGGUGGGGUAGUGGCUUACCAAGGCUUUGACGGGUAGCCGGCCUGAGAGGGUGACCGGCCACAAUGGGACUGGGAUACCGCCCAGACUCCUACGGGAGGCAGCAGGGGGGAAUUUUGCACAAUGGGCGGAAGCCUGAUGCAGCAACGCCGCGUGCGGGAUGACGGCCUUCGGGUUGUAAACCGCUUUCGCCUGUGACGAAGCGUGAGUGACGGUAAUGGGUAAAGAAGCACCGGCUAACUACGUG